RNAcentral lists this ribosomal RNA (253 nucleotides) under uncultured bacterium. RNAcentral describes it as "partial 16S ribosomal RNA". It matches the Rfam family "Bacterial small subunit ribosomal RNA", at positions 524 to 776 of the family's 1533-position model. The record is from RNAcentral.
UACGAAGGGAGCUAGCGUUGUUCGGAAUCACUGGGCGUAAAGCGCACGUAGGUGGAUCGUUAAGUCGGGGGUGAAAUCCCGGAGCUCAACUCCGGAACUGCCUUCGAUACUGGCGAUCUCGAGUCCGGGAGAGGUGAGUGGAAUUCCUAGUGUAGAGGUGAAAUUCGUAGAUAUUAGGAAGAACACCAGUGGCGAAGGCGGCUCACUGGCCCGGUACUGACGCUGAGGUGCGAAAGCGUGGGGAGCAAACAGG